RNAcentral lists this ribosomal RNA (465 nucleotides) under Vreelandella stevensii. RNAcentral's name for it is "partial 16S ribosomal RNA". It matches the Rfam family "Bacterial small subunit ribosomal RNA", at positions 338 to 795 of the family's 1533-position model. The record is from RNAcentral. Lineage: Bacteria; Pseudomonadati; Pseudomonadota; Gammaproteobacteria; Oceanospirillales; Halomonadaceae.
CCUACGGGGGGCAGCAGUGGGGAAUAUUGGACAAUGGGGGGAACCCUGAUCCAGCCAUGCCGCGUGUGUGAAGAAGGCCCUCGGGUUGUAAAGCACUUUCAGUGAGGAAGAACGCCUGGUGGUUAAUACCCAUCAGGAAAGACAUCACUCACAGAAGAAGCACCGGCUAACUCCGUGCCAGCAGCCGCGGUAAUACGGAGGGUGCGAGCGUUAAUCGGAAUUACUGGGCGUAAAGCGCGCGUAGGUGGCUUGAUAAGCCGGUUGUGAAAGCCCCGGGCUCAACCUGGGAACGGCAUCCGGAACUGUCAAGCUAGAGGGCAGGAGAGGAAGGUAGAAUUCCCGGUGUAGCGGGGAAAUGCGUAGAGAUCGGGAGGAAUACCAGUGGCGAAGGCGGCCUUCUGGACUGACACUGACACUGAGGUGCGAAAGCGUGGGUAGCAAACAGGAUUAGAUACCCGAGUAGUC